AAGAAAGAAAAAGAAAAAAAUUAUAGCCCAGAACGCCUCAAAUGUUAUUUUCGUGCGUCUAGAACACAAAGAUUUCGCGGGGGCAUGCCCCCGGACCCCGUGGGACAUUGUUGUCUCGAUCGCCCAAAUUUCGAAACCCCUUUCCACCCCCACCUUUGGACAUCUAUCCGCCCCUGUUGUUAUAAUUAUAACAUACUUUUUAAUUAGUUUUUAAACAUUUCAUCAUAUAAAUACCUUUUAUUAGUAUCUCUAUUUUUAUUAGUAUUUGAUAAUAUCUCAUUUCAUCAUAUAAAUGCCUUUUAUUAGUAGCAUUAUUCUUGUAAUGUUUAUGUUAUGAUUAUACAAUUGUCUUAGUAUUGUAUUUGUACAUCAGUAACAUUUUUUUAUUCACAUGUGUUAUACAAUUUUUAUUGUUCUUCAUCUUUGUUACUUCUCCGGAUACUUCGAUGGUUCGAAAUAAUACCGCCAUUGUUCAUUGUUCGAUGAUGAAUUAGGUUAAGUGUCUGUCGCCCUCUCUCGUUCUCCAUUACUCAAGCUCCCCUGCAUGUCCUCAUAACAAAAUACUGUGGACUGUGUAGUAGCUUGGUGGUAGGUAGUUGUGGUUGGCUCUUUCUGCGAACUUGGGAAUGCUUUGUUAGGAAUGCUAAAGCAAUGUACCUAGGACCUGUAGGAUUAUCGGGAAGACGGUAUUCAAUUAAAAAGGCAUUAUUGUAUUUCUGACGCACAUGUUCAUAAGUUCCGUCAAAAUGGAUGAACAUAGAAAGGCAGUCUCCUUUUCAGACACGCAUGUUGUGGCUAAUAAGAAUGGAAAGUUGAAGAAAUACAAAACAGAUGAAAACUUAGGCGGCCACAUGGCGUCGGCUGCCGAUACCUGCUGCACAAAGUUUAAGGAUUCUUGUGAAAUUGCAUUCAGUCCUUGGAUGACCCAUCGCAACCCACUACCGACAAACGCAUCACGAAUUGAACGUUGCAAAUACUCUUUGAUGUGUCCACCGCAUGGACUAUUGGCUAGAGCUUUAACUUACGGACUUAUUCUGGUUUUGGUCUGGGCUGCUAUGUGGUCAAUAGCGGGAGGAGAUGCGCUUCCUGGCGGAAACUUAUUUGCACUGUAUGUUCUCCUUGUUUGUUGUAAAAUUGGUGGAAUUCUUAUAUCAUUCAUAAAAAUGCCUCCACUUCUGGGUAUGCUUAUUGUAGGCCUUGUGUUGGCAAACGUACCACAUAUUGAUAUAGCAAAAGAUAUCACGCCUUCCUGGUCAGAAGUACUGCGCAACAUAGCCUUAGCGGUUAUUCUGAUCCGAGCCGGUCUAGGAGUUGAUGCAAAAGCUUUGAAACGACUACGAUAUGCAUGUCUGCGGCUAGCAUUUUUACCCACGUUGUUUGAAGCAGCCGCUGUGGCUGUAGCAGCUGUUCUGCUGUUGGACUUCCCCUGGCUAUGGGGGUUCAUGCUGGGGUUUGUGUUGGCUGCUGUUUCACCAGCUGUUGUGGUACCCUCCCUGCUAAUUCUUCAGGAGCAAGGAUAUGGCUUAGUCAAGGGUAUCCCAACCCUUGUCAUUGCAUCGGCAAGCAUCGACAAUGUAUUCGCUAUUAGUACUUUCAGUAUUCUUCUCGCAUCGACAUCUUCAUCAGCAAACAUGGUGUUUACAAUUCUAAGAGGCCCAAUAGAGGUCGUAAUGGGGAUCGGAGCUGGUGUAAUAUUUGGGAUGGUAUUGUGGUUUUUACCCAAUAAGUAUCAGUCAGCUAUAGUUGGAGUAAGGAGUGUUUUGAUUAUGUCUUCAUCCAUUCUUUCACUUCUUGGCCUGAAAUUGGCUGGCUAUUCUGGGGCAGGUGCCCUUGCAUGCCUCGUCUUACCGUUCGUUGCAGGCCUAGGUUGGAAAAAUGGCAAGAUAAAAGUUGGUAAUGUAGUGUCAGUAUUCUGGCUAUUUUUUGAACCUCUUCUGUUUGGUUUGAUUGGUGCUGAGGUAGCAAUUACUCAGCUUGAACCGUCAACUGUAGGGUUGGGCAUUGCUAUUAUCCUUAUUGGUUCUGUGGUCAGGAUGGCUUUAACUUAUCUCUCCGCAUCAGGUGGAAAUUUAAACAGGAAAGAGAAGGUGUUUACUGCCCUCGCUUGGUUACCAAAAGCUACUGUACAGGCGGCUAUAGGUUCUACAGCAUUAAUAGAAGCAACAAAUAGAGAUGAUCCUGAUGAACGUGAGAUAGAAAUGGCCACUCAGAUGCUUACACUGGCUGUGCUUGUUAUCCUGAUCACCGCCCCGAUAGGAGCAAUCAUGAUCUCAUUAACGGGUCCAAAAUGCCUAGACUACUCACCUGCUAAUGCAAAUGAGGAGGGGGAUCAAGAGGACGAGGAGAAUGGGGACAUAGAUGAAGAUGAUCCAUUUUGCAAUCGCAGCGUCUUCUCCAGUUUAGGUAACAAUGGCAGAGGCUUCUUUGUUGUACGUGACGAUGAUCUGGAUGCGUUGCCACGUGAACCAAAACUGAUUCGUAUUGAGGAAUACGUUGAUUCUGAGGAUGAAGACGCCGUUCCAGAACGAAGGUAUAUGGAGACUGAUAUUUGAAAGGUGAUGAAAGAGCAUUGUUGUUAUUGGAAGAUGAAUCACGUUCAUAAGAUGAGGCAACAGACAUUGAGAUACAGUGACAGAGGAUAAAUCCAGCCAUGGUCCUGGAUUUUUUGCGAAAUGUACAUCUUCAAAAUUCGCAUGUUGAUAAUAAUUGGCAGCUGAAUGAAAAAACUGGAAAGAAGUUUCUUGGUGAUAAAUGUGGUUGUCGAGCUUGUUAUUCCACAGAGGAACUAAACUGUCACAUCAUUUAUUAAUAUUGUUUACUAAUGAUAACUUCACAGUUUGCAAUCUUGCAUCAUUUCGAGUUCUACUCACAUCAUUUCAAGUUCUACUCACUUCACUGUUUGUGAUAUAUUGAGAAUAUGGAUGUGUUUUUGUGAAUUGUAGCUGGAAAUCAGUUUUGAGGAAACAAACACAUUGCAUCUGGGUUUGGCGGAUCAAAGAUUUUGAGGAUGGGUUAGGUCCUUCUGGUGGUAAGUUGGUCAGUGCACUGGUAGAUUAUUCCCAGCUGUUUUUCGCUGAGUGUACUGCGUUCUUGUACAUAGGUCAUAUUGAACUAAGGGCUUAAACAUCCUUUUCGAAAGAUGGUGUGCUAUUGAAACUUGUAUUUUAGCCCUCCAACUGAAAAGACAAGGAGAACGGCUAUGGAAUAGAACUGCGGAUCAAGGUUAUAUUAGGGUCCCAGUUACACACUAAAUACUACCAGUUUAUCAUAUAUAUCAUUUAUUUCAUCUUCAGUUCAACACAUGCAGUAACAGAUUAACAACAAAAAGAAAGAAAAACAGAAAAGAAACAUUCCUAGCUAAAACCAGACGGGAUUGCUGAAAAGUGGCAUUAAAGCUACUCUUUAAAGUGCUGCUAGCAACAAAAUAAUACAUAAGCAACAUAAAGGUAAAAUAAAUUGCAACAUAAAGGUCAAAUAAAUUGUUUCAUGUUAAAAUAUAUUUCAUCAAUGAAUUAGAACUUUAUAUACAUAUUUAAAAUUUUGUUUAAGCUGCUCUCUCCAUGAAUAGCAGACAACAUUUUUCAUUUUUCAUGGGUUACUGUAUAUUUUUUAAGGGAGCCCUCUUGAGUUUACUUUAUAACUUUCUCACUAGGUUGCUGCUUUUGGACUACAUGGACUUCAAUUGGAAAUUUCCUGAGUAUUUUGAUUGCUUUAAAUUUUGUUGAACCCGCUAGAAUAAAAUAUCAAAAGCUUCAUAAUUGGCAUCACAAUACAGUAAACCUACACAUUUAUAUGUUGUGUAACAAUUGCAUAAUGUAGUCAAUGUUAGUGGGGAGAAAU
RNAcentral lists this unclassified non-coding RNA (3840 nucleotides) under Anneissia japonica. RNAcentral's name for it is "sodium/hydrogen exchanger 9B2-like, transcript variant X1". Lineage: Eukaryota; Metazoa; Echinodermata; Crinoidea; Comatulida; Comatulidae. The record is from RNAcentral.